Molecule: ribosomal RNA, 397 nt
Filed under: Ceratitis flexuosa
Lineage: Eukaryota; Metazoa; Arthropoda; Insecta; Diptera; Tephritidae
Description: partial 12S ribosomal RNA
Source: RNAcentral
CUUACCUUAAUAGUAAGAGUGACGGGCGAUGUGUGCAUAUUUUAGAGCUAAAAUCAAAAUUAUAAUCUUUUAAUUUUUACUAUCAAAUCCACCUUCAUUAAUAUAUAUAAAAACUAAAUCCGUUUAAAUAAAUUUAUUGUAACCCAUCUCUUCUUAAAUAUAAGCUACACCUUGAUCUGAUAUAAAUUCUAAAUUAAAUUAUUGAAAAUUAUUAUUCUAAUAAAAUAUUCUGAUAACGACGGUAUAUAAACUGAAAAACAAAUUUAAGUGAGGUACAUCGUGGAUUAUCAAUUACAGGACAGGUUCCUCUGAAUAGACUAAAAUACCGCCAAAUUUUUUAAGUUUCAAGAACAUAACUAAUACUACCUAAGUGCUUAUUUUUACAUUUUAAAUAAUA